RNAcentral lists this small nuclear RNA (154 nucleotides) under Dasypus novemcinctus (nine-banded armadillo). RNAcentral describes it as "U1 spliceosomal RNA (ENSDNOG00000032506.1)". It matches the Rfam family "U1 spliceosomal RNA", at positions 1 to 96 of the family's 166-position model. From Rfam's summary of the family: U1 is a small nuclear RNA (snRNA) component of the spliceosome (involved in pre-mRNA splicing). Lineage: Eukaryota; Metazoa; Chordata; Mammalia; Cingulata; Dasypodidae. The record is from RNAcentral.
AUACAUACCUGGCAGGGAAAAUGCCAUGAACAUGAAGGUGGCUUUCCCAGGUAAGGCUGAUCCAUUGCGCUCCUACUGAAGCAGACUAGAUAGAAAAUCAAUAGACAGAUCUGGCUUCUGGCAGAGUCCAUGUGGACAUCAGUGUCCCCACGAU